GACGGAGGGUGCAAGCGUUGUUCGGAAUUACUGGGCGUAAAGCGCGGGCAGGUGGCCCUUAAGUCCUUUGUGAAAUCCCGGAGCUCAACUCCGGAUGUGCAUAGGAUACUGGAAGGCUAGAGACUGGUAGAGGCGAGCGGAAUUCCUGGUGUAGCGGUGGAAUGCGUAGAUAUCAGGAAGAACACCGGUGGCGAAGGCGGCUCGCUGGGCCAGUUCUGACACUCAUCCGCGAAAGCGUGGGGAGCAAACAGG
Molecule: ribosomal RNA, 252 nt
Filed under: uncultured bacterium
Lineage: Bacteria
Description: partial 16S ribosomal RNA
Rfam family: Bacterial small subunit ribosomal RNA
Source: RNAcentral